AUCUAUGUCUAUACUACCCCUGAAUAUAGUUGACCUCACUGGAUGUGAGAUGUUAAGCAUGGUUGGGUCUGGUUAGUAUUUGGAUGGCAGAUCGCUUAGAAGUAGUGAAUGCUGUAGCCU
RNAcentral lists this ribosomal RNA (120 nucleotides) under Dipodomys ordii (Ord's kangaroo rat). The record is from RNAcentral. Lineage: Eukaryota; Metazoa; Chordata; Mammalia; Rodentia; Heteromyidae.